This 1070-nucleotide ribosomal RNA is filed under the name Micrococcus sp. Its description in RNAcentral is "bacterial SSU rRNA". It matches the Rfam family "Bacterial small subunit ribosomal RNA", at positions 184 to 1266 of the family's 1533-position model. The record is from RNAcentral. Lineage: Bacteria; Bacillati; Actinomycetota; Actinomycetes; Micrococcales; Micrococcaceae.
UACCGCAUGGUGGGUGUUGGAAAGAUUUAUCGGUUUUGGAUGGACUCGCGGCCUAUCAGCUUGUUGGUGAGGUAAUGGCUCACCAAGGCGACGACGGGUAGCCGGCCUGAGAGGGUGACCGGCCACACUGGGACUGAGACACGGCCCAGACUCCUACGGGAGGCAGCAGUGGGGAAUAUUGCACAAUGGGCGCAAGCCUGAUGCAGCGACGCCGCGUGAGGGAUGACGGCCUUCGGGUUGUAAACCUCUUUCAGUAGGGAAGAAGCGAAAGUGACGGUACCUGCAGAAGAAGCACCGGCUAACUACGUGCCAGCAGCCGCGGUAAUACGUAGGGUGCGAGCGUUAUCCGGAAUUAUUGGGCGUAAAGAGCUCGUAGGCGGUUUGUCGCGUCUGUCGUGAAAGUCCGGGGCUUAACCCCGGAUCUGCGGUGGGUACGGGCAGACUAGAGUGCAGUAGGGGAGACUGGAAUUCCUGGUGUAGCGGUGGAAUGCGCAGAUAUCAGGAGGAACACCGAUGGCGAAGGCAGGUCUCUGGGCUGUAACUGACGCUGAGGAGCGAAAGCAUGGGGAGCGAACAGGAUUAGAUACCCUGGUAGUCCAUGCCGUAAACGUUGGGCACUAGGUGUGGGGACCAUUCCACGGUUUCCGCGCCGCAGCUAACGCAUUAAGUGCCCCGCCUGGGGAGUACGGCCGCAAGGCUAAAACUCAAAGGAAUUGACGGGGGCCCGCACAAGCGGCGGAGCAUGCGGAUUAAUUCGAUGCAACGCGAAGAACCUUACCAAGGCUUGACAUGUUCUCGAUCGCCGUAGAGAUACGGUUUCCCCUUUGGGGCGGGUUCACAGGUGGUGCAUGGUUGUCGUCAGCUCGUGUCGUGAGAUGUUGGGUUAAGUCCCGCAACGAGCGCAACCCUCGUUCCAUGUUGCCAGCACGUCAUGGUGGGGACUCAUGGGAGACUGCCGGGGUCAACUCGGAGGAAGGUGAGGACGACGUCAAAUCAUCAUGCCCCUUAUGUCUUGGGCUUCACGCAUGCUACAAUGGCCGGUACAAUGGGUUGCGAUACUGUGAGGUGGA